UACGUGUGGGAGUAGGCUGUCUGCAUAGGAACCGUUCACUGAUGAAUUCUAGAAGACACAGGUCUGGGAUGGCCCUGUGGACACAACUCCGUAAGUGCUCAGCUGAGGCUUUUGGGUGCAGUGUGGGCUGACCGCACGCCCACUCUACAGCAGGGAGGCAGCUGCCCAGGGCUGGUGCUCUGCUGGCGGAGGCCACAUGUGUACUUGGGGGUACAUAGGCAAGCACCGGCAGCCAAGCCCGGCCUGGCCUGUCCU
This 255-nucleotide long non-coding RNA is filed under the name Homo sapiens (human). RNAcentral's name for it is "non-protein coding lnc-DAO-2:1". The record is from RNAcentral. Lineage: Eukaryota; Metazoa; Chordata; Mammalia; Primates; Hominidae.